GAUGAACGCUGGCGGCGUGCCUAAUACAUGCAAGUCGAGCGAACAGACGAGGAGCUUGCUCCUCUGACGUUAGCUGCGGACGGGUUAGUAACACGUGGUUAACCUACCUUUAAGACUGGGAUAACUUCGGGAAACCGUCGCUAAUACCGGCUAAUAUAUUGAACCGCCUUUUUCAAUAGUGAAAUACGGUUUUGCUGUCGCUUAUAGAUGGAUCCGCGCCGCAUUAGCUAGUUGGUAAGGUAACGGCUUACCAAGGCAACGAUGCGUAGCCGACCUGAGAGGGUGAUCGGCCACACUGGAACUGAGACACGGUCCAGACUCCUACGGGAGGCCGCAGUAGGGAAUACGCUGAAACGGGCGAAAGUCUGACGGAGGAACGGCGCGGAAGUAAAGAAAGAGUGGGAGCCGGAAACAGGCGAUACUAGGGAAGAAAAAAUGUGGAAGUAACGAUGCAUAGAGUGACGGUACAAAAUAAGAAAGACACGGAUAACUACGGG
This 497-nucleotide ribosomal RNA is filed under the name uncultured bacterium. RNAcentral's name for it is "partial 16S ribosomal RNA". It matches the Rfam family "Bacterial small subunit ribosomal RNA", at positions 28 to 507 of the family's 1533-position model. The record is from RNAcentral.